UGCCAGACUCCUACGGGAGGCAGCAGUGGGGAAUAUUGCACAAUGGGGGAAACCCUGAUGCAGCAACGCCGCGUGAGUGAUGACGGCCUUCGGGUUGUAAAGCUCUGUCUUCAGGGACGAUAAUGACGGUACCUGAGGAGGAAGCCACGGCUAACUACGUGCCAGCAGCCGCGGUAAUACGUAGGUGGCGAGCGUUGUCCGGAUUUACUGGGCGUAAAGGGCGCGUAGGUGGGCGCUUAAGUCAGGUGUGAAAACUCCGGGCGCAACCUGGAGACUGCACUUGAAACUGGGUGUCUUGAGGGCAGGAGAGGAAAGUGGAAUUCCUAGUGUAGCGGUGAAAUGCGUAGAUAUUAGGAGGAACACCAGUGGCGAAGGCGACUUUCUGGACUGUACCUGACGCUGAGGCGCGAAAGCGUGGGUAGCGAACGGGAUUAGAUACCCCAGUA
This 446-nucleotide ribosomal RNA is filed under the name uncultured bacterium. RNAcentral's name for it is "bacterial SSU rRNA". It matches the Rfam family "Bacterial small subunit ribosomal RNA", at positions 329 to 792 of the family's 1533-position model. The record is from RNAcentral.